UCCGGUUUGUCACCGGCAGUCUCAUUAGAGUGCUCUUUCGUAGCAACUAAUGACAAGGGUUGCGCUCGUUGCGGGACUUAACCCAACAUCUCGCGACACGAGCUGACGACAGCCAUGCAGCACCUCCACACAGACCUCCGAAGAGGGGCACUCAUCUCUGAGCGUUUCCUGUGCAGUUCAAACCCAGGUAAGGUUCUGCGCGUUGCUUCGAAUUAAACCACAUGCUCCACCGCUUGUGCGGGCCCCCGUCAAUUCCUUUGAGUUUCACCCUUGCGGGCGUACUCCCCAGGUGGAUUACUUAACGCUUUCGCUAAGACGCUGACUGUUUAUCGCCAACAUCGAGUAAUCAUCGUUUACAGCGUGGACUAC
Molecule: unclassified non-coding RNA, 369 nt
Filed under: uncultured bacterium
Lineage: Bacteria
Description: contains 16S-23S intergenic spacer region
Source: RNAcentral